AGUAAUGUCCUACAACAGUGACAAGCAAAUGGAAAAUAUUCAGACCAAGAUAUAGCCUAGACUGUUUAAUUUUUUAAAACAAACUGGGUGGGUUAAGGCAGCAGUUCACGUCUCAGGCUGUCUUUAUGUAGCCUAAUAGAUCAUUUGACAGACUCAGUCAAAAUGAGUAUAUUCCGUAUAUUAAUAUAAGUUUCACUUCCAUUGGUUUUGGCUCUCUGACCUGCCAGCCGUCUCUCCCGGACAUUCCUCCAAAGCAGAUCCCAAGCCUUGGAUGUAGAGUCCCGCAGCUGCUCGCUGAUUGACCGCCGCAGCUGCAGCUUGGCAGACCUUCGCUGGGUUGUCAUUGCGGUGCAGCCGGACGCAUAUUCCCUGACUUAAAACCAGCGCUCCGUCUCCACCAGUUAUUCCUCAAUCCCUUUAUUCCACUGCGAGCAGCCCCGGCUGGGACGCGCUCCCGGGCUGCCGAGUCUGGCUGCCGCAAUGGUCGUCACCGCUUCACCUGGUAAAGCUCCUCUCGCGCUGCGUCACCUUCCUGCACCAGCGGAGGCGGACGAGGUCCUAUUCGCAGGAUUUGGACCCACUAAAGACAAUGUGAUUGAAUUCAUUCAGCAUUUCUGACCUCCUCAGCCCCCUGUCUGACUCAUCUACAGUAGCUGGUAUAGAAGGUACUGCAAUGUUUCAGCAUAACUUCAGCCUGUGAGCCUGGAUCUCUGACAAGGCGAGCCAGAUGUGAGGGGUGGUUUUCCCCCCCUCCCCAUGUGAAUGCCAGACAGAGCAGUCAGACCGGCCAGGACGCUCUUCAGCUGCCGUCUGCCUGACACCAUCGGAAGUCCUGUCUGUAGUGUUGAGUUCCAGGUCUGCAUGGAUCCAUAAGUAGAGACCUGAUUCACCAUUUUGACCUGUCGAAAUACACUUGACAUCCCAAGUAGUCAGCAGAAUCCUCCACUUAUCUGGACACCGAAUCCCACUUUUCUUGUAUGCUUGACUGACAUAAAUGGGGCUAUGAAUAAUCGCUUGGGGAUGAGCAUUUUAGUCUUCACCCAAAAUGUGAUUUCUGCAGUUGGACUGGUUCCCCAUCAAACGUACAGCAGCACACGUGUUGGAGGGGAAGGCUGUUAAGGCCUUACUUUCCCUGCAUUGCCCUGCCAAGGCCUGGUGUCCAAUGACAGAAUAGCUGAGGAGAGACCCGGUGAUUUAUAUUCCUGCGUUACACUGCUGAGAUUCAUGACUGGCACUGGCAGUCAGCAGUGUUGAGAGGGAAAGUGUUUUAGAAGGAAUGGAAGAUGAAUAAUGAGUGGCUGAAUGGAGAAGGAAGGCACAGAGGAGCUGAGGGGAGAGUAAAACAGACAUGUAGAAGAUCAAGUGUGGGACAAAAGGAACAACUAAAACAUGCUAAAUGACACACUUCGUGGAAUAAAACUUCUGAUGAAAUGA
Long non-coding RNA from Micropterus dolomieu (smallmouth bass), 1434 nucleotides. RefSeq lists it as uncharacterized. The transcript is spliced from 2 exons. The record is from RefSeq and is a predicted model, not a curated record. Lineage: Eukaryota; Metazoa; Chordata; Actinopteri; Centrarchiformes; Centrarchidae.